This is a long non-coding RNA of Schistocerca cancellata (South American locust), 2958 nucleotides long. RefSeq lists it as uncharacterized. Lineage: Eukaryota; Metazoa; Arthropoda; Insecta; Orthoptera; Acrididae. The record is from RefSeq and is a predicted model, not a curated record. The transcript is spliced from 4 exons.
UUUUUUUUUUUUAAAUUGCCUUUUUUUCCAUUUUGGCAAAAAUGUGAUGCCAGAUUGUCGAGUGGAAUACGCGGCUGUGAAAUUUUGUUUCUCGUUAGGGAAAUUGGCUGUGGAAACUAUUUUAGUGCUUAAGCCGGCCUACGGGGCUGCUGCCCUUAGUAAAACCAGAGUCUAAGAGUGGAUUUCAAGUUUUAAAAAUGGAGAAAUGCCAAUUGAAUACCGACCCAUCCAGGAUGCCCCCUCAAUGUCAAGAAGUGACUAAAACGUUAAGUCAGUGCCCUCAUUUGUGAAGACCGUUACCGAACGAGUGAUAGACUCUGUGAGAUGUCUGGAAUGUGACGGAGUUCAGUUCGGGGGGUUUUAUUCGAAGAUUUGCGUAUGAGAAUGGUUGCAGCCAAAUUUGUCCUCGCCUUCUCACAGACGAUCAAAGGGAGUGUGAACUUCGGGCGUGUUUUGAGCUUCAGAAUCGGCUCAAAGAGGACCCUGAAUUUUUCCGAGGUGAUUACUGGUGGUGAAUUGUGGUGUUACGUCUGUGCCCUGAAACAAAGCAGCAGUCGAGACAGUGGAUGAGGAGCGGCUCUCCUCGUCCCUAAACGGGUCACGAGUGAAGUCAGACACGGAGCAGAGGUGUUGUGCCCAUAAGUUAGUUCUCCCUGGUCAAACUGUCAAGAGCAUUUCUACUCAGAAGUUUUGAAAAACUGACGGAGAGUAUCCGGAAGAAAACGGCAACUCUUCGGCGCACAGGCGACUGGUUCUUCCAUGACGACGUGCCGGCCUACACUGCGCUCUCCGCAAACCAGUUUUUGACCGAAAAUGGCAUAGCACUUAUUGUGUUCCCCUGCCCUGCAACCCCCCCCCCCCCCCCUCCUCCCCAGUACUCACUGGAUGUUGUUUUGUUCCCCAGGCUCAAAACGGACAUGAAAGGAAGCUGUUUUGCUGCUGUGGAGGAGCUAAAACAAAAAUCACUUGUAGUCAUAAAGAACAUCCUGAUAAGUGAGUUUAAAAACCAUUUUCAACAAUGAAAGGAUCGUUUGGGGGAGUGUGUGUGGUCAGUGGAGAAUACUUCGAAUCCGAUCAAAAUGUCGUGUAAAAAUAGUAAGAAAUAAAGACGUUACAACAAAUUUCCCAAUGUUGUGACGAAUUUCUCGUGGUGGUUUUUCUUUUUCUUCCCGCCCCCCUUUUCUGACCCCCUGCCCCCCUCCUCCCCCUCAUAAAGUAGUAGCACUUUGUGCUCGGUACUUGCCAAUACUAUCCCCAGUACAUUAUUUUUCCUCUGGUAGGUGCCGAAAUGUAAUGUGGGUCUUAAACACUCGGCUCGGACACUAAAAUUGGAGGAGGAUUUGCCGACAAAUUUUGAAGAGAAACCGCCACCGGCAAUUGGCAGGUGGCACAGGUGCUGUACACGGGUAAGGGUGCUGCACGACGUGUUGUCCGUGAAUUUGUACCGUCUACUAAAAGUCCAGGCAUUACAGCCAGAAGACUAGCCACGACGGAUGAAAUUCGUGCAAUGGUAUUUUUCAACAAUGCAUACUCCGGCCACAAUUCCUGAGCUUGGUACCAUUUCUAGAUGAAAGCACAUUUCCUAGGUAUGGCAUAUUAAGCCUAAACAACAUGCACUUUUGAGCAGAUGAAAAUCCAUAUGCACACGGUUCAAAAUCGUCAACACAGGGUCAGUAUUACCGUGGGGCCACAACUACUGCCAGACUAAGAGGACCGGUCUACCUCACAUAAAGUAGAGAUGUGUUGUCUACCCUAUCGGAUGUAGUGCCACUAAAUCUUCGUGGCUGUCAUACGCCAGAGCUCCGGCACACUUAGAUGCCGACGUGCAGAAUCACCCAAAUAUCGCGUACUCUUAUUGACGGAUCUGUAGGGGUGAACCGUUCCGUAGCCAGCACAGUAGGCAGAUCUGAAACCUUUAGACUAGUUUUUGUUAGGUAAUAUGAAGAGUACGGUGUACAGUGCACGUGUAAUGUGGAGGACCUUAUUGCUGGAGUGCAGAGCGACUAAAAUACUCGAAAGACAACCGUCCGUACGGGCUCGUGUGCGUGAGGCUCAGCCCGCCAAUGUACACUCUGCAUUGACGUAGGAGGUACACAGUGCAAACCCUGUUUCUAAUGUAGAGAGCAUGACGUGCUACUCAUGUUGGACCGAUUGACGUAACUGGAACACGUACCCGUCUCAGUUUUAGACACUCUCCAGCACCCGAGCCGUGUGUUACUGGAUAUGGGUUCCUUCUUGAAAACCGAUCAUUGUGCCUUCCUGCACAACAUACUAAGUGUUAUCUAUGUUUUUGGGACACCCUGUAUAUGUUAAGAAAAUGCACAGUUCGAUCAUUGAUCAUUGUGGCUAUUGGCAUCGCAGAGCCCAGAACAAUUAAAUUGUCCAGGGUGCUGUUCAGUGUGUGUCUCGGGGACGGCACAUACUUUAAGAAAAUGCUCGAUUUUGUCAUCAUGGCUGUUGGCAUAAUGGAGUCCAGAAUCCAGGAUGCUGUUUUGUGAAAUCCCUCGUGGUGGUAGCUCUGAAGUCCUCCUCGGUACUCUGUGCAGUGUCGGUAGCUCUUUGCACACCUGCUGCGACGUAGGCACUUCUGCCGAUAAACUCCAACUGCCGCACACUGUCAGAGGCGUACUUCAAACAAAUAAUAAACUGCAAAACAGUUUUGGACUAAAACAGGAUAUUGUUGGUUAGCGGUACGGCCAGUGUGGAGACGGGAAAUGGUGCGGUCACUCUGGCCACUGCAGCAAUACGAACCGUCCGCAGUGACUUCUCGCCCGGCCUCAAACGUGUCGGAGAGUGGCAACUGACUAGGAACCCAGCCGCUUGGUGCCUGAGGCAGACUGACUGACUUCACUGUGUCCAAAGUACUGUAGUGGGAAGCAUCAGCUAUUUGUGUUAAGGGUGGAUCUGAAUUUAUGUAUCCAUAUUUAUCUUUGAAAUAAAGUCUUACGCAACUGCUCA